CUGAGAGGGUGACCGGCCACAUUGGGACUGAGACACGGCCCAAACUCUUACGGGAGGCAGCAAUGGGGAAUGUUGCACAAUGGGGGAAACCCUGAUGCAGCGACGCCGCGUGAGCGAUGAAGUAUUUCGGUAUGUAAAGCUCUAUCAGCAGGAAGAAAAUGACGGUACCUGACUAAGAAGCACCGGCUAAAUACGUGCCAGCAGCCGCGGU
RNAcentral lists this ribosomal RNA (211 nucleotides) under uncultured bacterium. RNAcentral's name for it is "partial 16S ribosomal RNA". It matches the Rfam family "Bacterial small subunit ribosomal RNA", at positions 292 to 521 of the family's 1533-position model. The record is from RNAcentral.